GACACUUUGGCCGAGUGGUUAAGGCGAUGCCCUGCUAUAGUCUGGCACUUUGGCUGAGUGGCGUAGGCAUUGGAGUUUCUCCGCGUGUGUUCGAAUCGCACAGGUGUCG
This is a non-coding RNA of Mycena alexandri, 109 nucleotides long. NCBI's taxonomy places the organism in Eukaryota, Fungi, Basidiomycota, Agaricomycetes, Agaricales, Mycenaceae. The record is from the annotation of a GenBank genome assembly.